CACGUAGGGGGCGAGCGUUGUCCGGAUUUAUUGGGCGUAAAGAGCUCGUAGGCGGCUCGGUAAGUCGGGUGUGAAACCUCCAGGCUCAACCUGGAGACGCCACUCGAUACUGCCGUGGCUAGAGUCCGGUAGAGGAGCGUAGAAUUCCUGGUGUAGCGGUGAAAUGCGCAGAUAUCAGGAGGAAUACCAGCGGCGAAGGCGGCGCUCUGGGCCGGAACUGACGCUGAGGAGCGAAAGCGUGGGGA
This 245-nucleotide ribosomal RNA is filed under the name uncultured bacterium. RNAcentral's name for it is "partial 16S ribosomal RNA". It matches the Rfam family "Bacterial small subunit ribosomal RNA", at positions 524 to 767 of the family's 1533-position model. The record is from RNAcentral.